Molecule: ribosomal RNA, 468 nt
Filed under: uncultured bacterium
Lineage: Bacteria
Description: partial 16S ribosomal RNA
Rfam family: Bacterial small subunit ribosomal RNA
Source: RNAcentral
GACGAACGCUGGCGGCGUGCUUAACACAUGCAAGUCGAACGGAAAGGCCCUGCUUUUGUGGGGUGCUCGAGUGGCGAACGGGUGAGUAACACGUGAGUAGCCUGCCCUUGACUUUGGGAUAACUUCAGGAAACUGGGGCUAAUACAGGAUAGGAGCUCCUGCUGCAUGGUGGGGGUUGGAAAGUUUCGGCGGUUGGGGAUGGACUCGCGGCUUAUCAGCUUGUUGGUGGGGUAGUGGCUUACCAAGGCUUUGACGGGUAGCCGGCCUGAGAGGGUGACCGGCCACAUUGGGACUGAGAUACGGCCCAGACUCCUACGGGAGGCAGCAGUGGGGAAUAUUGCACAAUGGGCGGAAGCCUGAUGCAGCAACGCCGCGUGCGGGAUGACGGCCUUCGGGUUGUAAACCGCUUUCGCCUGUGACGAAGCGUGAGUGACGGUAAUGGGUAAAGAAGCACCGGCUAACUACGUG